UUAACUAUUAUAUAGUACUCAGACAUCACUGAUAAAAGGGUUUGGGUCCUCUGGCGGGCGCGGUCAGCCGGAGCCGACGCCUUGCAGACGGCCCGCCAAAGCAACAAAGGUAAAAUAAACACAGGGUGUAUGAUAUCUCCCUUCACGACCCGCGACAGGCUCUCACCUGCCUCGAACCGCUCCGGUUACAUUAAUGAUCCUUCCGCAGGUUCACCUACGGAAA
This 223-nucleotide unclassified non-coding RNA is filed under the name uncultured fungus. RNAcentral describes it as "sequence contains ITS1". Lineage: Eukaryota; Fungi. The record is from RNAcentral.